This 418-nucleotide RNase P RNA is filed under the name Chitinivibrionales bacterium. RNAcentral's name for it is "RNase P RNA component class A". It matches the Rfam family "Bacterial RNase P class A". From Rfam's summary of the family: Ribonuclease P (RNase P) is a ubiquitous endoribonuclease, found in archaea, bacteria and eukarya as well as chloroplasts and mitochondria. Its best characterised activity is the generation of mature 5'-ends of tRNAs by cleaving the 5'-leader elements of precursor-tRNAs. Cellular RNase Ps are ribonucleoproteins. Lineage: Bacteria; Pseudomonadati; Fibrobacterota; Chitinivibrionia; Chitinivibrionales. The record is from RNAcentral.
GAAGGGAAUCGGGCAGUCGCUCCGUAUUCGCAAAGGUACGGAGAGGAAAGUCCGGGCACCGGGGACAGGAUACCUCGUGUUAAACGGGGGCCCCCCAAUUACGGGGGAACGGAUAGUGCCACAGAGAACAGACCGCCCCGUGCCGUAUUACGGGACGGAGUGAGUAGUGAAAAGGUGGGGUAAGAGCCCACCGCGUUCAUGGUAACAUGCACGGGCUCGGCAAACCCUAUCCGGUGCAAGACCGAGCAGAAGGAGCCUCCCGGACAAAGCGACGGGAGGAGGCAGUCCCGGCCUUAUUCCUUCGGGUGGGUCGCUCAACGCCCUUCCUGCGCAAACGGGAGGGCCAGAUAAAUGACUGCCUCUCUCUGGGCUACGGCCGAGAGACGAACAGAACCCGGCUUACAGAUUCCUUCCUCCA